UACGGAGGUGGCAAGCGUUGUUCGGAAUUACUGGGCGUAAAGGGCGCGUAGGCGGCCUUCUAAGUCAGACGUGAAAUCCCCCGGCUUAACCUGGGAACUGCGUCUGAUACUGGGAGGCUUGAGUAUGGGAGAGGGAUGUAGAAUUCCAGGUGUAGCGGUGAAAUGCGUAGAUAUCUGGAGGAAUACCGGUGGCGAAGGCGGCAUCCUGGACCGGCAUUGACGCUGAGGAGCGAAAGCUAGGGGAGCAAACGGG
RNAcentral lists this ribosomal RNA (253 nucleotides) under uncultured bacterium. RNAcentral's name for it is "partial 16S ribosomal RNA". It matches the Rfam family "Bacterial small subunit ribosomal RNA", at positions 524 to 776 of the family's 1533-position model. The record is from RNAcentral.